GAUGAACGCUAGCGGCAGGCUUAAUACAUGCAAGUCGAGGGGCAGCAGGACUGUAGCAAUACAGUUGCUGGCGACCGGCAAACGGGUGCGGAACACGUACGCAACCUACCCAAAACUGGGGGAUAGCCCGGGGAAACCCGGAUUAAUACCUCGUAACCUUUUUAAGUGGCAUCACUUGAUAAGUAUAGCUCCGGCGGUUUUGGAUGGGCGUGCGCCUGAUUAGGUAGUUGGUGCGGGUAACGGCCCACCAAGCCUGCGAUCAGUAACUGGUGUGAGAGCACGACCAGUCACACGGGCACUGAGACACGGGCCCGACUCCUACGGGAGGCAGCAGUAAGGAAUAUUGGCCAAUGGACGCAAGUCUGAACCAGCCAUGCCGCGUGAAGGAUGAAGGUCCUCUGGAUUGUAAACUUCUUUUAUGGGGGACGAAACCCGGAUAUUCUUAUCCGAUUGACGGUACCUCGGGAAUAAGCACCGGCUAACUCCGUG
RNAcentral lists this ribosomal RNA (489 nucleotides) under uncultured bacterium. RNAcentral's name for it is "partial 16S ribosomal RNA". It matches the Rfam family "Bacterial small subunit ribosomal RNA", at positions 28 to 507 of the family's 1533-position model. The record is from RNAcentral.